This 302-nucleotide ribosomal RNA is filed under the name uncultured bacterium. Its description in RNAcentral is "partial 16S ribosomal RNA". It matches the Rfam family "Bacterial small subunit ribosomal RNA", at positions 508 to 807 of the family's 1533-position model. The record is from RNAcentral.
GCAGUCGCCGCGGUAAUACGAAGGGUGCAAGCGUUACUCGGAAUUACUGGGCGUAAAGCGUGCGUAGGUGGUUGUUUAAGUCCGUUGUGAAAGCCCUGGGCUCAACCUAGGAAUUGCAGUGGAUACUGGGUCACUAGAGUGUGGUAGAGGAUAGUGGAAUUUCCGGUGUAGCAGUGAAAUGCGUAGAGAUCGGAAGGAACAUCUGUGGCGAAGGCGACUAUCUGGGCCAACACUGACACUGAGGCACGAAAGCGUGGGGAGCAAACAGGAUUAGAGACCCCCGUAGUCCCUGUCUCUUAUAC